CUUUACUGUAACCUGGUAUUGGGAUUUGAUUCUCGAUGCGUAGCAUAGGUGGGAGACUUUGACGCUAUCCUUCAGGGGAUAGAAGAGUCGUUAGUGAAAUACCGCCCUUUGUUAAUUAGAUUCCUAACCUCAUACCAUAAUCUGGGUGAGGAACAGUGCUAGGGGGUCAGUUUGACUGGGGCGGUCUCCUCCAAAAGAAUAACGGAGGAUUGCGAAGGUCCCUUUAAGCCGGUUGGCAAUCGGCUGUUAAGCACAUGGGUAGAAGGGGGCUUUACUGCGAGACCAACAAGUCGAGCAGUUGCGAAAGCAGGCCCAAGUGAUCCGGUAGUUGGACGUGGAACGGCUAUCGCUUAAAGGAUAAAAGGUA
This 367-nucleotide ribosomal RNA is filed under the name uncultured organism. RNAcentral describes it as "bacterial LSU rRNA". It matches the Rfam family "Bacterial large subunit ribosomal RNA", at positions 2099 to 2465 of the family's 2925-position model. The record is from RNAcentral.